This is a long non-coding RNA of Pantherophis guttatus, 3591 nucleotides long. RefSeq lists it as uncharacterized. The record is from RefSeq and is a predicted model, not a curated record. Lineage: Eukaryota; Metazoa; Chordata; Lepidosauria; Squamata; Colubridae.
AUGAGGCCAAAGAACUCAGCUUUCUAUUACGCAUUUACAACCUUCUUUCCAGAGAAAAUGUUGCCGCUGGAAGCAUUUUAGUUGGAGACCAAAAGAUGGACACAUCCUUUUUCAGGUGCCAAACUAGAGUGGAGCACCACAAGCUUUAGAGCAAGCAUAGGAGAAAUUGAGCAGCAUACAAUGUGCUUGACCUUUAGUAUGUGGAACAAAAAUAUAAAACCUGAUUCCUUCCAAGAGAAGUUGGGAUAGAUUGCUUUUGGAGAUUCUCAGUCAUCCAGGUCAUGGUUGCCCCAAAGGUGCUUUUUCAAGAGGCAACUGGACUUUUUUUCCCUUCCUCGAAGACAUUUAGUUUCUUAUGGAUGAGAACUAGUAAUCAGCACGGGUUUGUUAAAAAUAAAUCAUGUCAAACCAAUCUUAUUUCAUUAUUUGAUAAAAUGACUAAAUUAGUAGACCAGCGAAAUGCUGUGGACAUAGUAUACUUAGACUUCAGCAAGGCACUCAACAAAGUAGAGCACAACUUACUUCUUGGUAAACUAGAAAAAUGUGACAGCAUAGACAGCAUCAUCACCAGAUGAAUUUGUAACUGGCUGACAAACCAUACUCAAUGAGUAGUUCUAGUGGUACUACUUCUACUUGAAGGAAAGUAAGCAGUGGGGCAGCCCAAGGUUCUGUUUUAGGCCCAGUAUUCUUCAAUAUUUUCAUAAAUGACUUAGAUGAUGGAAUAGAAUCAAAUUUGCAGAUGACACUAAGCUGGCAGGAAUAGCCAAUACCCCAGAAGACAAACUCGGGAUUCAAAAGACCUUGAAAGACUUGAACAAUGGGCCCUAUCCAACAACAUGAAAUGUAAUGUGGAGAAAAGCAAGGUUUUACACCUAGGCAGGAAAAAACAAAGGUACAAGUACAGAUUAGGUGAAACCUGCCUCAAAAACAGUGAUUGUGAGAGGGACCUUGGAGUCCUCAUGAAUGAUCACUUCCUCCUGAGAUCCGAACUACCCCCACCCUUUUGGCCUUCUGGAAAGCGGUGAAGACCUGGCUUUUCCGGCAGGCCUGAGGCUGUUGAUCUCACUGUUACAAUCCUGCGAGAUCCGGCCAUGAAUGGAUGUGGUAUGCAUGGACUUUUAAUGUUUUUAAAAUGUUUUUAUAAUGUUUUUAAAUAAUUUUCCUAUGUUCUUUGUUAUAUUAUUUUUUUGCUGUAAGCCACCCAUAGUCCCUUGGGAGUUGGGCGGCAUAGAAAUUUGAUAAAUUAAAUUAAAAUCACUUAAAUAUGAGCCAGCAACUAAUACAAUCCUUGGUGAUAUAAACAGAGGUAUAUAAUCAAAAUCAUGUGAAGUAUUAUUACCGCUUUAUAAAAUCCUUAGUAAGAUCACACCUGGAAUACUGCAUUCAGUUUUGGUCACUACAUUACAAAAAAGAUGUUGAGACUUUGGAAAAAAUUCAAAGAAGAGCAACUAAGAUGAUUAAAGACCUGGAGACAACAACGUAUGAAGAAUGGUUGAAGGAAUUGGGUAUGGCCAGUCUAGAGAAAAGAAGGGCUAGGAGUGACAUGAUAGCAGUAUUUCAGUAUUUGAGGGGCUGCCACAAAGAAGAGGCGGUUGAGUUAUUUUCCAAAGUGCCAGAAAGCAAGACAAGAAACAAUGGAUGGAAACUAAUCAAGGACAGAAGCAAACCUGGAAUUAAGGAGAAACUUCCUAACGGUGAGUACAAUUAAGCUGUAGAACAGCUUGCAUUCAGAAGUUGUAGGUGUUUCAUCACUGGAGGGUUUUUUUAGAAAAGACUGGACAAACCACCUGUCUGAAAUGAUAUAGGGUCUCUUACUUGAGCAGGGGGUUAAACUAGAAGACCUCCAAGGUCCCUUCCAGCUCUAUUCUGAUUGAUAUAUUUUAUAUAUACUACAUAAAUGUACAUAUGCAUAUACAGAUACUUAUAAUUAAAAUUUUAAAAUAUGAAGUUAAAAGCUAACACAAACUAAUAAAGUAAGGGGGGGAAAAAGAAACAGAAAUAAAAGGAAUUCCUCUUUCUAAUCUAAUCAGAAACACUUAUUCAACUCCUUGCCUAGCCUCUAAAUUUAAUUCUUCAGUCUGCCCUAAUCUUUAGUUUGGGAUUCUUUGGAUGUGUUAGAUUACAAAUAUUAUACUUUUAGGGAACUAUGUAGUAGAAGGUGAACAGAAGGAGGAAGGGAAAUUUUUAAUAGCAAAUGGCUAGAGUAUAUUGUUCUGGAAAUUGCAAUGAACAGCAGCUGCAAUUUUGGAAAUGUUGCUCUAGUCUACAGAGCUGGACUUCAUAAAAGAAAACAAAAGCCCAUGGAAGCCAAGUUUUUUUUUUUUUUUAAUUUGCAUCUGGAAAAUAUCUUUGGUUCCCUGGGGCAGCAAGGUAAUUCAACUAUUUAUGUAUUCGAUUUAAUGAGCAAACUAGAUCUUGUUUAAAUGAGUUACUGCUUCAGUGGAGAUUCCAACCCCUCCUUCAGAAAAUAUUCACAUCAAUUCUUUUUGCCUUGCUUGAUCUACUGCUAAAAGAAAAGAACAACAUUUUGGGGGGAGACUAACUAUCAUGGUGGGAUACAUCACAUAUAUGCAUUUGAUGUGCUUAUUUUAGAAGUACAAUGGUUUCUUAUCUCUGUUGGAUCUUCAGCAGCCUGAUUCACAGAUGACAGGAAGAGAUGGGGAACUGGAGGGAGGGGGUGAGUGAUGGGAAAGGCCUCCCAGUUUGUUUCCUGAAUUUUAAGAUGAUUUAUAUAAACUGAGAUUGCUUCCAAGCACAAAGCUUCUUUUGUAAGCAGCCAAAGGACACACUCCACUUACUACCUUACCAUGCAAAUCAGUUUGCUUUGUAACUUAAGGCUGUUCAUUUUUUAAAUUAUUAUUAUGCUAUUAUAUUGGAGUAAAUGUAUGUGUUUUAACUGCACUUACUGUUUAUUAUAUGUUUAAUUCUGUAUUGCUGUUAUGCUAUAUAUUUAGUAUAUUAUAUUGAGACAUAUUUUUUUCUAAAUUCUUUUCUUAUGAGGAACUGCUUUGAGCUAGAUGUUAUUGGAAAAGGAACAUACAGCAGAUACUGUAUGUUCGAAGCUUUUUAAGCAGGGAAAAGAAGCAAAGAAGAAAAGAGAAAAUAGGACAACAAGAGUUCUUUUGGCACCAAUUCUCAAGCUCUUACCCAUACAAUUGAGAAGAGAAAUCUGUUUGAAAAUUUAUGGAACAGCCUAAUAAUGAUUGCUGAAUCUAAUCUAAAACUAUAAUGACGUGUGGAAAUGCUCUUGGGAAACAGAAGGAAGAGCCACAGACUGGACGAUAGCUAUUAUGACCACCCAUUCCAAAAGACUCUGGAUGUCUUACAAUAUACAAUGAAGACAGUUAAAAAGCAUGGACAUCUGGAGGAUCCAGUCCCAGCUAACCCAUGUUGGAUGGUAUAUUCUACUUGGAGAAGAAGAUGGUUCCAAACUAAAUAACCCUCCUCACCUACAACAAAAGUCCAGAUUCUCAAGAGGGACAGGUUUUGUAUGGCCACUUAAAGUACUCCAUAACUGUAACCAUUUUUGUUUUUGUCUCUACAAAUACAGAGUGACAAAAAUAAGUGACAAAAAUAAAAUAUGGCCCCUGA